CUCCCCACCGCGGGAGUCGCGGUGCUCCGGGCCGGAGCCAGGUUGGAGGGACCCCUCCCAGGCUCUGUGGAGAAACCGUGCCGGAGCGGCCCCUAAGCCGGGCGGGCGAGCGAGUAGCGGAACGAGCGAGCGAGCCGGACGCCGGCGUUGAGUGCGCUUCCCCGCACGCUCCCAGGCCGCCCCGGGUCCUGGGCUCUCAGAAGGAGGAUCAGCACCCGGGGCCGAAGAGCGGGGGCGGACGGAGGCGUUGCUGUAGCUCAAGCUCGUCGCGGCGUCUGGAGCCUUAGGUUAGCUCCUGGGGUCGGGGACUGAGGCUUGGGCGCUGCCUGCCGGAGUGGAGAUCCGGUUUGCCUCCCGCCCCCGCUCAGGACCCUGACGCGGGUGAGGCAGCCCCGGGAGCAUGAGCGGGCAGCGUGUGGACGUCAAGGUGGUGAUGCUGGGCAAGGAGUACGUGGGCAAAACGAGCCUGGUGGAGCGAUACGUGCACGAUCGCUUCCUGGUGGGGCCCUAUCAGAACACCAUUGGGGCCGCCUUCGUGGCCAAGGUGAUGUCCGUCGGAGACCGGACGGUGACUUUGGGUAUUUGGGACACAGCAGGCUCUGAGCGCUAUGAGGCCAUGAGCCGAAUCUACUAUCGGGGCGCCAAGGCUGCCAUCGUCUGCUAUGACCUGACAGACAGCAGCAGCUUUGAACGGGCAAAGUUCUGGGUGAAGGAACUGCGCAACCUAGAGGAGGGCUGUAAGAUCUACUUGUGUGGCACCAAGAGUGACCUGCUGGAGGAGGACAGGCGGCGCCGACGUGUGGACUUCCACGACGUCCAGGACUAUGCCGACAAUAUCAAAGCUCAGCUCUUUGAAACUUCCAGCAAGACAGGCCAGAGUGUGGAUGAGCUCUUCCAGAAAGUAGCAGAGGAUUACGUCAGUGUGGCCGCCUUCCAGGUGAUGACAGAGGACAAGGGCGUGGACCUGGGCCAGAAGGCAAACCCCUACUUCUACAGCUGUUGUCAUCACUGAGUCACCACUCACCUGGCCUGGGGGAAUUAAAGGAAUUCCCCCAGAGAGGCUGGACCUAGCUUUUGUCUGGGCUUGGGUGAUCACACGUCUGAGCUACCCCGGGUCCCCGUGGCAGCAGAGGUGGCACCUGCCUGUGCUGGCCCAUGGAACGGAGGCAGCAUUUGGGCUGACUGAUGGGCACAAGGAGGGGGAAGCUGCCAGGACCAGACUUCCUUCCUGCCACUGUUCUCACAAGGCAACCUGGGAGUCCAGCUCCUGUGAGUAGACGCUGCCAAGCCUGGAAAAGGAUCGCUGAUGCACUUCAUGCCCUGACUGUAGUGUGGGGUGGAGGAUGUAAAGAAUAAAAUAAUUAUUUUCAUCAAUGCUAAAGAUGUAGAUUUGGUAGUUGUUCAGAAGAGGAUCAACACGGUGAUUUAAAUCACUUCAAACUCAGUAACUUCAGGGGGAAGCAGACAUUUAAAAACUUGGAUGUUUUUGUAGCAAUGACAACUAUUUUGCUAUUAGAAUGGGUUUGCUCCAGUAGAGAAGCAAAUGAGGCUUUGAAUUCAAAUUUCAACACUUUCCAUAAUUUUUUCUGACUUAACAGGGCUAGGACAGGUGUUAGUUCUCUAACUACCUAUGGAAGCUAUGGCUUCCCCCUCAGAAAGGCUUCCUGGGGAACUGGCUUAGAGGCAGACGCUCUAUUGAGAUCCUGAUUUACAAGCACUUGGCCAAAUGCCAAAAUACCAUCCUACACAAAGAUCAGGAGUUUCUAAGAGUAAAGAUUUCCUUUUAACUGCCAAGUCACACCCCCUGGAGAAAAGGUCUCAGUAUAGGUUCCAGGAGAAUCCCCAAAGGAUGGCAAGGUCACCUACCCCAAUGGGUCAUGCAAGAGUCUCACUUCCCAAAAGUCCUUCCGACUCUGCUUCUAAUUGUAUAGUGACUGCUUUCAUGAUGUUAACAAUCUAGUAUCAAAUGCUAUCAGUGGGCCUGAGAGUUGAACAUCUAAUUUCCAAUCAACCUAAGAGAGUCUUAAAAUGGCCCUCAUGAAAGCCCGGCUGGCUGUUCAUCCAUUUAAUAAAUAAACAGCUUCAGAAGCUGUUUCCUACGCAGGUCUGGAAGGAAGCUUUCCAGUGAAUAGGGAGAAUGGAAAAAACUGAAACAAAACCACAAAGUGGCCCACCUUUCCCUCACUCCUUCCUGUCCUGUGAGACAUAUCUAGAGUGGCUGUCAAGUCAAUUACCUACCAAAGCCUACAUCAGAGAAGCUCCUUCAGGAUCUAACUUCUCCACUUAAAAAUUUUACAUAGCCUGCACAUCCCCCCCCCCCCAACAAAAUUCACAGUUUAUUUCAUGAAACAAAGAGCUACGGUAAUUUAACACACAACACAGUGGAAAGAGAUUCUGACAGCGCAGUGCGGAUAUCUUUUUCUGAUCACAACUACAGAUGACAGGAGAAAAAGAGGGCACAGGACUGGCACCAAGCAAAUCCUACUCAUACAACCUAAGAGAUUAGGGAAAGGGACCUACUAGCUGCAGUUAUAUACUUAUUAUUCUCACACAUGAUAAAUACUUAAUAUAAUGAACUUUAAUGUUCUGGGUGGAUUUCUUUAAAAAUAUCUUUUCCAUGGUUUAAAAUUUUUUUAAAAGAAAAUAAGAUGCUUUGUUUUCUCUUCCUCUAAAACAAAGAGCUUUUCCUCUCUGAUGAUGUGGGAAGAGAGACAGGAUGACAGGAGAACUAGGCAGGUGGAAUUUACAGAGGAGAGUCCGAGGUCUAAGUGAGAUGCAAGAAUAGGCCCCUAAUCUCAGGGCAGCCCUGCCCAGCCUCAUGCCUCUGCCUGAGUUCAAAUGUCUCAACCCCAGAGACAGACUUUGGGAAAUAAAAGCAAAUUCUUUUUUAAAUCUUUAUAUAAAGCGCAAAUGCUUCUAUAACAACAGUUGUUCCCUCCUUAGAAGUAUGGGAGUAACCUCAAUAGAAACUCAGGAGGAGGAAAUUGGGACAAAAUACAGAAUCCUGUUGAGGGUGUAAAAGCCAUAACUGAGACAGAAAUGGCCAGGAGACCUUGGGGCCAGGAGAUGGCCUGUUGGCUAAAGCUGCUGGCUAAGUUGGCAAAGCAGAGAGGUAAACAUGUUUGGUCUAGGGACAAAGAGGGGGUAGGUGAAUGAGAAGGAACUGGCCAAACAGCACUUCCUGUUGGCAGUCAGUGAGCUGGGUGAAUGGUAGGGCAGGGUAGCACCAACAGAUUUCCCAGCCCUUGGGCCCCAGCUCAGGGCAGCAGUAACAGAUAAUCAGCAGUUAUGAGGAGUCAUCUCUUGGACUGGACAUUGCUCUAAACGCCACAUCUUGCCAGUCAUGGGGAAGGGUUCUGGCUUGCCUUUGAGCUAAGUCAGCAGGCAGGUGCUCUCAAUACAGAGCACAGCAUUUCUCAGGGAGAGGGUGGUAGAAUCCACUAGUGAAGAAGACUCCCUCCAUUCAGGUAGGAGGGCAAAGGAUCAGGAGAGAAGUAAUUUCUUGCCAGGAUCUGGCACUCUCCCUGAGCUGGUGGUGGAUCUAGCCCAGAGCUUGCCAGAGAUUCCCUAGGUCUACUGCCCGAGACUCUGAAAUCUGAAAGCACCUGAGUGUUUGGGGGACAGGCAUGGGGUGGGUUGAUGUAAAAGGAGGAAAAUCUGUAGAAAAGAAAGGUAAGCUUGCCAAUUGCUUUCUUACACUGAGGGAAAGCUGUGUCCUCACAGAGCCCAGCCCCCCAACCAACUGCUCCACCAAGGACAGAUCUUUAGACUCUCCAGAGCCCAGACAGCAGCAGCAGAGGCUGCCCAGCCAACAGGCUCUACCUGCCUAUAGAGGAGACCUCCGCAUGAGUGUGCACACAUGCACAUACACACAGGCACACCUGACCAGGAGACACUCAAAACAACCACUUCCGGGGCCACAAAGGACAUGACAAAAUGAGCCCGGAGUCCCAGGGCCCCUCAAACAUCCUGUUAUUUCCUGGUCAAAGGUUCUUUAAAAAUAACCUGGGAACCCAGGCAAGCAUGUUAGGCUCACAGGGAUCAGGUCUUACUUAUCUCUGUAUCUCCUGCCAGUGACUAGCACCAGGCCUAGCACACAUGAAU
Molecule: RNA transcript, 4104 nt
Organism: Balaenoptera musculus (blue whale)
Lineage: Eukaryota; Metazoa; Chordata; Mammalia; Artiodactyla; Balaenopteridae
Gene: RAB24
Gene name: RAB24, member RAS oncogene family
Exons: 9
Source: RefSeq, a predicted model, not a curated record